UGGGGAAUAUUGCGCAAUGAGGGACGAAGGACGUGACGGUACCUCAUGAAUAAGCCACGGCUAACUACGUGCCAGCAGCCGCGGUAAUACGUAGGUGGCAAGCGUUAUCCGGAUUUACUGGGUGUAAAGGGCGCGUAGGCGGGGAUGCAAGUCAGAUGUGAAAUCUAUGGGCUUAACUCAUAAACUGCAUUUGAAACUGUAUCUCUUGAGUGCUGGAGAGGUAGAUGGAAUUCCUGUGUAGCGGUGAAAUGCGUAGAUAUAAGGAAGAACACCAGUGGCGAAAGGCGAUCUACUGGACAGUAACUGACGCUGAGGCGCGAAAGCGUGGG
This 329-nucleotide ribosomal RNA is filed under the name uncultured Oscillospiraceae bacterium. RNAcentral describes it as "bacterial SSU rRNA". It matches the Rfam family "Bacterial small subunit ribosomal RNA", at positions 422 to 765 of the family's 1533-position model. Lineage: Bacteria; Bacillati; Bacillota; Clostridia; Eubacteriales; Oscillospiraceae. The record is from RNAcentral.